UUAUUUUUUAUUCAAGUAUGCAGAUUGAAUUUUCUACUCCAGGAACAUGCCAUGGCUUUGCUCUUUGGAUUGAUUGGCUAAUCGAUGAAAGAAAUUCCAUUUCUAUAUCAACCGGACCAGUUAAUAGACACCGGAAACAAGGGGUACAGCUUAUCAGCAAGCCAGUGGUGGUCAAUGUAGCUUCAUGCUACACCGAAAUAGAGGCCUCCUUCGAUCCUUCGACUGGCGAACUCUUCGUUAAACCCUCAUUCUCAUACCCAUCAUAGAAUUAAUCCUUGCGACAGAUCAGCUGGAGCUGCGGAAAUUGAAGUGGGAAGCAAGACAUGCGGUGUUUGUUAUUUUUUUGCUACAUUUUGAACAAGUAUUUUUUGUUAGAACUUAUGUUUGAAAUUUAAUUUGAAUUCUGAGAUUGUAAUUUGAGAGUUGAGACUAUUUGUUAUACAAAUUA
This is a long non-coding RNA of Ananas comosus (pineapple), 448 nucleotides long. RefSeq lists it as uncharacterized. The transcript is spliced from 4 exons. NCBI's taxonomy places the organism in Eukaryota, Viridiplantae, Streptophyta, Magnoliopsida, Poales, Bromeliaceae. The record is from RefSeq and is a predicted model, not a curated record.